AGAACGACUCUCGGCAACGGAUAUCUCGGCUCUCGCAUCGAUGAAGAACGCAGCGAAAUGCGAUACUUGGUGUGAAUUGCAGGAUCCCGCGAACCAUCGAGUCUUUGAACGCAAGUUGCGCCCGAAGCCUUCCGGCCGAGGGCACGCCUGCCUGGGUGUCACUC
This 164-nucleotide ribosomal RNA is filed under the name Euphorbia lathyris. RNAcentral's name for it is "5.8S ribosomal RNA". It matches the Rfam family "5.8S ribosomal RNA". Rfam says of the family: 5.8S ribosomal RNA (5.8S rRNA) is a component of the large subunit of the eukaryotic ribosome. It is transcribed by RNA polymerase I as part of the 45S precursor that also contains 18S and 28S rRNA. Lineage: Eukaryota; Viridiplantae; Streptophyta; Magnoliopsida; Malpighiales; Euphorbiaceae. The record is from RNAcentral.